This 525-nucleotide ribosomal RNA is filed under the name uncultured bacterium. RNAcentral describes it as "bacterial SSU rRNA". It matches the Rfam family "Bacterial small subunit ribosomal RNA", at positions 791 to 1307 of the family's 1533-position model. The record is from RNAcentral.
UAGUCCACGCCCUAAACGAUGUCAACUAGGUGUUGGGUGGGUAAAACCAUUUAGUACCGUAGCUAACGCGUGAAGUUGACCGCCUGGGGAGUACGGCCGCAAGGUUAAAACUCAAAGGAAUUGACGGGGACCCGCACAAGCGGUGGAUGAUGUGGAUUAAUUCGAUGCAACGCGAAAAACCUUACCUACCCUUGACAUGUUCAGAAGCCUGAAGAGAUUUGGGUGUGCCCGAAAGGGAACUGGAACACAGGUGCUGCAUGGCUGUCGUCAGCUCGUGUCGUGAGAUGUUGGGUUAAGUCCCGCAACGAGCGCAACCCUUGUCGUUAAUUGCCAUCAUUUAGUUGGGCACUUUAACGAGACUGCCGGUGACGAACCGGAGGAAGGUGGGGAUGACGUCAAGUCCUCAUGGCCCUUAUGGGGUAGGGGCUUCACACGUCAUACAAUGGGUCGGUACAGAGGGGUUGCCAAGCCGCGAGGUGGGAGCCAAUCCCCAGAAAGCCGAUCGUAGUCCGGGAUCGCAGGGCU